Molecule: ribosomal RNA, 405 nt
Filed under: bacterium
Lineage: Bacteria
Also listed under: 2 other names
Description: bacterial SSU rRNA
Rfam family: Bacterial small subunit ribosomal RNA
Source: RNAcentral
GUGGGGAAUAUUGGACAAUGGGCGCAAGCCUGAUCCAGCCAUGCCGCGUGAGUGAUGAAGGCCCUAGGGUUGUAAAGCUCUUUUGUGCGGGAAGAUAAUGACGGUACCGCAAGAAUAAGCCCCGGCUAACUUCGUGCCAGCAGCCGCGGUAAUACGAAGGGGGCUAGCGUUGCUCGGAAUCACUGGGCGUAAAGGGUGCGUAGGCGGGUCUUUAAGUCAGGGGUGAAAUCCUGGAGCUCAACUCCAGAACUGCCUUUGAUACUGAAGAUCUUGAGUUCGGGAGAGGUGAGUGGAACUGCGAGUGUAGAGGUGAAAUUCGUAGAUAUUCGCAAGAACACCAGUGGCGAAGGCGGCUCACUGGCCCGAUACUGACGCUGAGGCACGAAAGCGUGGGGAGCAAACAGG